UUCAGCAUGGAGGAAAGGCUUAUCAGUGCGGUGGCUAACCAUCCAGAGCUGUAUGAUGCUAGCUGCUACUUCUACCGAGACAGGAAUGAAAAGGACCUAGCUUGGAGGCACAUAAGUGAGGAAAUCGGGCAACCUGAGGACAUCUGCAGGAAAAAGUGGAAGCGCCUCAGGGACACGUAUAAGAAGGAGAAGAGGACAGAGAAGGAGAAGAGGAGUGGGUCUGCAGCAGGAUCGGGGAAGCGAUGGAAGUUCUUCGCGGUCAUGGGGUUUCUGGACCCCUUCCUCACCCCGCGGGAGACUAGCGGCAAUAUGGUGCGGACCGUGGAGAACUUCCCCCCCGAGGACCAGGGACAGCCCUGAGAGGCAGCAGGGGAGUGUCAGUCAGAAGAGCCAACUGAUUCUGCAGCAGAGCCAUCCCCUGUUGCUUCUCCUGGCUCCCCAGUCCCUGGUCCCUCCACUCCUGCUGCUGCAACCACAGGCCCACAGAUGAGGACAGUUCAAAGGCGGACGAGGGACGGGUCCCAGGACGGUCCAACAGCGGUGAAGCUGGCCAUCCUGGAGUCCCUGAAGAGGCCACACCGGUCUCCAACGGAGCAUUUCCUCCUCGCCCUUGUUCCUGCUCUGGAGAGCAUGCCGCCUCAGACAUGAGAAUUCGUGAAAUUUCAAAUGUAUGAAUUAGUUUUUGAAAACAGCACAGCUGUGUUAAAUUUGGAAACAUUAGACCCUAAUGAUCAGUAGUUUUCUGAUGAGGCAGCAGGCUCUCCAGGGCAGAAACAAUGUUGUUAUUUUUCCCCUCCUUCUCCCUGAGGCUCUUCCACUCCAAGCUGGGUCCUUUUUAUUCCUUUAUCUCUGUCAAUAGUUAAAUUUUAUAUAUUUAUGUUCAAUGUUUUUGUUAGUGAAUUUUAAAAUUUUUCCAAUAAACAUUUGUA
This is a long non-coding RNA of Oreochromis niloticus (Nile tilapia), 929 nucleotides long. RefSeq lists it as uncharacterized. Lineage: Eukaryota; Metazoa; Chordata; Actinopteri; Cichliformes; Cichlidae. The record is from RefSeq and is a predicted model, not a curated record. The transcript is spliced from 4 exons.